Molecule: non-coding RNA, 107 nt
Organism: Canis lupus familiaris (dog)
Lineage: Eukaryota; Metazoa; Chordata; Mammalia; Carnivora; Canidae
Source: Rfam
UUGCUCAUUUUGGCAGCACAUACAUUAAAAUUGGAACUAUAUAGAGAAGAUUGGCAAAGCCCCUGCACAAGAGUGACAUGCAAAUUUGUGAAGCAUUCCAUAUUUAA